AGCCACAAGUUAACAUUUGGGGUCUAACCUGCCCAAUGUGCAAUUAAAAAGAUGAAUGGCCGCGGUACCCUGACCGUGCUAAGGUAGCGUAAUCAGUUGGCUUUUAAAUGGAGUCAGGAAUGAAUGGAAUAACCGGGUUUAGCUGUCUCCUUCCUAAUCAAUUGAAUUUACUGUUCAAGUGAAAAAGCUUGAGGAAAGAAAGGGGACGAGAAGACCCUUAGAAUUUUUUUUAGUGGGAAAUUUUUUUUCUAAUGAUUUUGUUGGGGCGACAUGGAAAUAUAUAAAAACUUUCCUUUUUCACUUGCCGAUUUUGUUAAGUUAGGAUAAAUUACCUGAGGGAUAACAGCAUAAUUCUACAGAUGAGUUUGUGACCUCCAUGUUGGACUAGGGAAUUAGCAAGUUAGCCGUUUGUUGUGUGGGUUCCGUUCCAACUAUAAUCCCU
Molecule: ribosomal RNA, 442 nt
Filed under: Dendronotus iris (giant frond-aeolis)
Lineage: Eukaryota; Metazoa; Mollusca; Gastropoda; Nudibranchia; Dendronotidae
Description: partial 16S ribosomal RNA
Rfam family: Bacterial large subunit ribosomal RNA
Source: RNAcentral